RNAcentral lists this long non-coding RNA (1051 nucleotides) under Homo sapiens (human). RNAcentral describes it as "long intergenic non-protein coding RNA 1359". The record is from RNAcentral. Lineage: Eukaryota; Metazoa; Chordata; Mammalia; Primates; Hominidae.
CUUAGAAGUGAGGAAACAGGCUCCAAAAGCUUGUUACUUGCUUGUAGUCAAACAGAAGGCAGAGCUGCGAAUCAAAUCCAGGUUUGUCUCGACAUGCCACUAGCUCAUACUUCCCUUGGAUCAGCCACUAAAUGGCUUUCACUCCAGUGAGCAGCGACCAGCACCAGAAUUAUGGAACAUUUAUCAACAGCCUAAAAUAAAGACAACACGAGGAGAAUUUGGUUGCUUAUAUAGAUUCAAGGUACAAUCCUGCUGGAUUCUGGGAUUACAGGACUGUAGACAAAAGAGAAAUCAUCAUGGACUGUUCACUGGACAAAAUUUCAUGGAGAGGAGAAGACCUUUGGCGGUUCAUGGAUGUUCUAUAAUAAGUUAGAAUCUCGGAAUCUCGCUCUGUCGCCCAGGCUGGAGUGCAGUGGUGCAAUCUUGGCUCACUGCAAGCUCCACCUCCUGGAUUCCUGCCAUUCUCCUGCCUCAGCCUCCCGAGUAGCUGGGACUACAGGCACCUGCCACCAUGAAGAAAUAUCACAGUGUGCAUGCACAGAAGUACGACCAUGUGAAGAGGUAGCAAGAGAGCAGCAAUCUACAAGCCAAGGAAAGAGGCCACAGAGGAAACCAACCCUGCCAGCAUCUUGAUCUUGGACUUCCAGCUUCCAGAACUAACCAGGGACCCCACUCCCAUGCCGACAGUAUGGGCUGCUGUCUUCAGGACCAUUGCAAGUGUCCUUCACGGUUCGGUUCACAUUUCACAAGCCCCAUGAAGUCUAUCUGGAUUUUCGAUGGAUGUCUUGCCUUUUCCUCUACACACUACAGGAAGAGUGGCCACCCCUGCCAAGGGCCUAGUAUAGUACCCUAUACAUGUAGCUGAUCAGUUGAUUGUUACUGAUCAUAUGUAUCCUGCAUCAUGUUAUAAAAAAUUAACACAGUGCUUGGCACAUACUUGUACUGAAUGUCAGAGCUGCAGCAUGAUCUGGAGGCUUUCCUCGCUUUCUUCUGCUUCCCCUCCCUUGAUCCUUCACAGGCAUUUUCCUCAAUACAUCUCUUGCCUGGCUAA